AGUGAACGCUGGCGGUAGGCCUAACACAUGCAAGUCGAACGGCAGCACAGUAAGAGCUUGCUCUUACGGGUGGCGAGUGGCGGACGGGUGAGGAAUACAUCGGAAUCUACUUUUUCGUGGGGGAUAACGUAGGGAAACUUACGCUAAUACCGCAUACGACCUACGGGUGAAAGCAGGGGAUCUUCGGACCUUGCGCGAUUGAAUGGGCCGAUGUCGGAUUAGCUAGUUGGCGGGGUAGGGGCCCACCAAGGCGCCGAUCGGGAGCCGGCCUGAGAGGGUGAACGGCCAGAGGGGGACUGAGGUAAGGCCCAGACUCGUACGGGAGGAAGCAGUGGGGAAUAUUGCACAAUGGGAGGAAGCCUGAGGAAGCAACGCAGCGUGCGGGAUGACGGCCUUCGGGUUGUAAAACGCUUUCGCCUGUGACGAUGCGGGAGUGACGGUAAUGGGUAAAGAAGCACCGGCUAACUACGUG
Molecule: ribosomal RNA, 472 nt
Filed under: uncultured bacterium
Lineage: Bacteria
Description: partial 16S ribosomal RNA
Rfam family: Bacterial small subunit ribosomal RNA
Source: RNAcentral